RNAcentral lists this RNase P RNA (273 nucleotides) under Nitrososphaerota archaeon. RNAcentral describes it as "Thaumarchaeota archaeon RNase P RNA component". It matches the Rfam family "Archaeal RNase P". Rfam says of the family: Ribonuclease P (RNase P) is a ubiquitous endoribonuclease, found in archaea, bacteria and eukarya as well as chloroplasts and mitochondria. The record is from RNAcentral. Lineage: Archaea; Thermoproteati; Nitrososphaerota.
GUUAGAGGGUAGGUUUCGGUAUAACUGAGGAAACUCCUCUCUCCUAUCAGGAAUGUGAUGUCGAGAGACAUAUUCAGAGAUGGAUGGCACCGGAGCAGAAACGAUAUCCAAGCUUGUUAAUACGAUGAGGAUGAAAAUCUGAGGUUUCAAGUGAUGGAAUGAAACGGCCGUCCCACAUGGAGCAAGGCCAAACAGAGUCAAAGAUUUCCUGAUUGAGACUUGGGUAGGCCGCUAAGCUAAAUCCUACCUGAAACAAAAAGAGGGUUAAGUAGC